RNAcentral lists this ribosomal RNA (440 nucleotides) under uncultured bacterium. RNAcentral describes it as "partial 16S ribosomal RNA". It matches the Rfam family "Bacterial small subunit ribosomal RNA", at positions 338 to 795 of the family's 1533-position model. The record is from RNAcentral.
CCUACGGGCGGCAGCAGUGGGGAAUAUUGCACAAUGGGGGAAACCCUGAUCCAGCGACGCCGCGUGAAGGAAGAAGUCUUUCUGGAUGUAAACUUCUAUCAGCAGGGAAGAAAAUGACGGUACCUGCCUACGAAUCCCCGGCUCACUACGUGACAGCAGCCGCGGGAAUACGUAGGGGGCAAGCGUUAUCCGGAUUUACUGGGUGGAAAGGGAGCGUAGGCGGCGAUGCAAGUCAGAAGUGAAAGCCAGGGGCUCAACUCCGGGACUGCUGUUGAAACUGUAUGGCUUGAGUGCAGGAGAGGCAAGUGGAAUGCGUGGUGUAGCGGUGAAAUGCGUAGAUAUUAGGAGGAACACCAGUGGCGAAGGCGGCUUGCUGGACUGUAAAUGACGCUGAGGCACGAAAGCGUGGGGAGCAAACAGGAUUAGAUACCCGGGUAGUC